GCUGCUCGAUAUUUUUCAACUCUGAAAAAAAUGGAGAUAUGGUAGAGAAACCAUGAAUCAUAGCGAAACCCUUGUUGAUACCCUAAUUUGAUUUUGUUGAUACCUGAUUCUGUGACUUUGAAGAUGGAGAUGGAAAGAGUGGUGGUACUGAUAUUGAUUGAAUGGUGGUGGACUUAGCCGAGCAGUUGCAGGUUGAAUCUGUUUAUUUUUUGAAGCUGUUGAUUACAGAGAAUAAGGAAUUGAAGAUGGUUGUCUGUGGUGGAUUAGAAGCUGAGAAGAUGGUGUACUGUGGUUGGAGGUGGUGGUGCAUAAGAGUUUAAUCUACUUUUUUGGGGGUUGUUAAUGAAUGAAUAUGGUGAUGGCAUUGAGAUGAGUUGUUAAUGGAUCUGGUUAUGAACAGUGGUGUUGCUUGCUGUUGGUGUGGUGUUGUUGCUUGCAGGUGGUGGUGGUGGUACUACUGCUUGUUGCGGCUGAAAUAGAUCAGGAUCUUUACAUGGCACCGGAACUCCAGCCCGCAUUCAGGAUCGUUAUAUCACAUUUCCGGAGAGGGUUCACCGCUUCCUCUCUUGGGUAUAGCUGCCGCCGCCACCACCAGUUCAUCGCCAUCACCUCAACAACUCCAGAAGGGGUGUUUAAGACAAAAGUCAUACUGUUUUUCUCAAAACAGUUAAGUCGGAUGGAAACAUACCACUUUGCAAACACUAAUUAAAGCUAUGAUCAUUUUGUAAAACUAAUUAGGGGAGUGUGAUCAUUUUGUAAAACACCCUCUUUUUUUUCCUUUUUCUUUUUUUUUUAAUGAACAAGGAACCUUUUUUGGUGGAG
This is a long non-coding RNA of Papaver somniferum (opium poppy), 822 nucleotides long. RefSeq lists it as uncharacterized. Lineage: Eukaryota; Viridiplantae; Streptophyta; Magnoliopsida; Ranunculales; Papaveraceae. The transcript is spliced from 2 exons. The record is from RefSeq and is a predicted model, not a curated record.